AAAAAUUAAAAGCAAUUUUAGUUUUAUGCAACAGCAAGAAGUCAGCAGAGUUCGUAGUACCGAUAAACGUUAUAAUCGUAAAUUAAAAGCGCCUAUCGGGAAGGAA
This is a non-coding RNA of Candidatus Staskawiczbacteria bacterium, 106 nucleotides long. The record is from Rfam. NCBI's taxonomy places the organism in Bacteria, Candidatus Staskawicziibacteriota.